Molecule: ribosomal RNA, 732 nt
Filed under: Rippkaea orientalis PCC 8801
Lineage: Bacteria; Bacillati; Cyanobacteriota; Cyanophyceae; Chroococcales; Aphanothecaceae
Description: bacterial LSU rRNA
Rfam family: Bacterial large subunit ribosomal RNA
Source: RNAcentral
GGUCAAGCUAUAAAGGGCUAACGGUGGAUACCUAGGUACACAGAGGCGAUGAAGGACGUAGUUACCGACGAUACGCUCCGGGGAGCUGGAAGCAAGCAUUGAGCCGGAGGUUUCCGAAUAGGGCAACCUUAUAUACGGUCACCUGAAUCUAUAGGGUGACGCGAGCCAACCGGGCGAACUGAAACAUCUUAGUAGCCCGAGGAAAAGAAAGCAAAAGCGAUUCCCCCAGUAGCGGCGAGCGAAAAGGGAACAGCCUAAACCUAAAACUGCGGUUUUAGGGGUUGUGGGACAGCAACAUGGACUGUAGCGGUUAGACGAAGCAGCUGAAUACUGCACCAAAGGAGGUGAAAGUCCUGUAGUCGAAAACUUAAACAGCCUAGCUGAAUCCCGAGUAGCACGGGGCACGUGGAAUCCCGUGUGAAUCAGCGAAGACCACUUCGUAAGGCUAAAUACUCCUGUGUAACCGAUAGUGAAACAGUACCGCGAGGGAAAGGUGAAAAGAACCCCAGUAAGGGGAGUGAAAUAGAACAUGAAACCGUUAGCCUACAAGCAAUGGAAGGACGAUUUAACGUCUGACCGUGUGCCUGUUGAAGAAUGAGCCGGCGACUAACAGGCUGUGGCAGGUUAAGAGCGAAAACUCGAAGCCAAAGUGAAAGCGAGUCCGAACAGGGCCGAUAGUCACAGUUUGUUGACCCGAACCCGGGUGAUCUAACCAUGGCCAGGAUGAAGCUU